GCAGCCCACGGACCCGGAAUGGCGUUGGCCUGCAUGUGAUCGAGCAAUUGCUCGUCGACACGCUCGGCGGUCCGCCGCAGCGCCAGUUCGCGCAGCGCAGUCAGAUUGCCCGGCGAAAAAUAAUGCUCAAGCGCGCGCUCGGCCUGCUUGGGAACGUAGACCUUGCCUUCCUUGAGCCGCUGAAUCAGAUCGCCCGGCGUCAGAUCGACCAGUUCGAUGUC
This 221-nucleotide unclassified non-coding RNA is filed under the name Hevea brasiliensis (rubber tree). The record is from RNAcentral. Lineage: Eukaryota; Viridiplantae; Streptophyta; Magnoliopsida; Malpighiales; Euphorbiaceae.